GACUAUCACAUUGGCCAGUAGCAGGCCCACACUUUCCAUUGAAAUCCUGAUAGGUUUAUGUUGGUUAAAAUUGUUUUCAUUUUUAAAUAUUGUAUUGUUCUUUUGUUGUUGUUGUUGUUGUUGUUGCACUACAAAGAAGACAUGUGCAGUAUGCAUAGGAAUUUGUUUGUAUUUUUUUUUCAAAUGAUAAUUCAGCCCCUCAACAGUCUGAAGGAUUGUGGACCGGCCCUCUGCUUCAAAAGUUUGAGGACCCCUGGUUUAGACAUACUUCAACUAUUGGCUCUACCGUAGUUGCAGAAAUAUUUGGAACACACAAAACUGCAGAUUUAAAUGAUGUUCUGUGAAUUUUUAUCUUUUUAUAAGUGCUCAAGACUUUGUCUACAGUGGGACAGAAUGAGGCAGAUGCCCCAACUGGUCUACGUAUUGUAGAGCUCCUGGCUGUUCCCUUUUGCUGCUGGAGGGCAAACAAGACCUGUAUAUUCCAGACAGCUUGCCCUGUAUACUUCAGUUGGAUUGUUGGCUUCAGGUGCGGUGAACAAUGCUGCCUUGUUGAAGUAGGAUCUACAUUCUUGUCCAGGUUGAAUGGAGUGGCCCUAUUUUGGUCUUUAACUCAGGCAUACAUACUUACAUACAUACACGGGUUGAAUGAAAGCUUUGGGAGAUAUGAGACUUGCGAGGGUUGAAUGAAAAGUAAUGCCUCCACCUUCGUAACUCCUCAACAGAUGGCAAUACUGGUCUGCGGCAGGUACUGGCUUGUUCAGUAGACUCUCCUCUACAGUUCCAUUUGGCAGGAAGCCUUAGCACUGAAUGCUUGUGUUGUUAAAGUGUGACGUAUGGAACUCUGCGCAGACGGUCAGGCAAUGCGACUUAAGCAACAUGCAGUCACUGAAUUCUGGACAGCAGAAGGUGUCACUCCAAAGGAGAUUCAUCAGAGAAUGCAAGCUGUUUAUGGUGAUUGUGUUGAUGUGAGCACUGUGUGUUGUUGGGCGAGUAAGUUUAAAGAUGUUGAGGUGGGGACAUCUGACUUGUGUGACAAACAAAGAGUUGGACGUCCUGUGACAGCAACCACCGAGUUUCACAAGCAAAAUGUUGACAGAUUGAUUCAGGACAAUCGGUAUCACUCUGAGAGGAAUUUCAAGCAUAACCGGCAUUUCACAAGAAUGUGUGGGUCACGUUAUUGCUUUGGUUGGCUAUUGGAAGAUCUGUGUACGAUCGGUCCUGGGAGACGCCGGUUGCGGAAACAGAGUGUCGACUUCAUCCGUGACGGCUUCAGAAAACUUGUUCAUUGUUGGCAGAAAUGUAUCCAAUUGUCUGGUGUUUAUGUGGAAAAGUGAAUAGUGGUAGCUAAAGAGCACAUUAUAAGGAUUAUUUCUGCAUUUGAUUUAUUAAAAUAAUAUCACCCAAACCCAAGUAACGAAGGUGGAGGCAUUACUUUUCAUUCAACCCUUGUACAUUCAGUACACCUGAAAACAAAUACACACUUUUGGUUUGAUUUGAUGUGUCCUUGUACCUCUGAUUGACUUUUUCAGAAUGAAGACUCAAAUGAAUAAAAUUCCGGCUCUUGUCUUCUCAGCAAUACUUUUCUUAGUAGCAGUUGAAGGACUUAAAUGCCACCAGUGUCGUAGGAUCAGAAAUGAUAACACGUGUCCCAAACCACAAGUUUGUGUAGCACCUGCAAAUAAUUACUGCUUCAUUCAAAGGAUCUCCAAAGAGGGACGUAUUAGGAGAAUACACCGAGGUUGCACUUCAUACUGCCUACAAGCCAUCAAACUCAGCAACAGUUUUAUAAAGUACACGUUCUGCUGCAGAACAGAUUUCUGCAACAAAUUUCAUUCUUGGCUGUUUGACUAAGUGCAAUGCCUCCUCCGUUCCUUCAGCUUCUGUCAGCAUCAUGCCCAGUUCUGUGCAAUUUUUCACCAGAGACAGAUACACGGAGUAAUUGCAGCUCUGAAGAGGAAAGAAGGCUAUUUGUUAUUAAUCUUAGUGACUUUUAUAAGAAAGUCUGGGGCAUGCUAUCACUCCAAGUGGGCUUAUUCAUUCCUUGUUCUUCUGGUUUAUGCCUGAUUGACCCAUAUAUGCCUUCAAGUGUCAUACUUUUCUUAAAUGAGAUUCAUUUGUAACUCUCUUCAAAAUGAGAUAAUCUUACUUUUAUAAAUCAAUACAAUAAAAUAACAAAAUGAUGAUACACCUGGAUUGUGGGCUCAUUCAAUAUCCUACCCUUAAGAAAAUAUUACAU
Molecule: long non-coding RNA, 2236 nt
Organism: Anolis carolinensis (green anole)
Lineage: Eukaryota; Metazoa; Chordata; Lepidosauria; Squamata; Anolidae
Exons: 3
Source: RefSeq, a predicted model, not a curated record